ACCCGAUGGCAUAUUGUAUAAAUGGAAGGGACGGAAUUAUAUUCAAAUUCGUUGAUAUGGUGGAUGCUUAUCAACAUGGACGUGAUAGAAAUACUCCGUCAAUUGAGUAGCCAUGCAUCCCCCCAUGAUGCCUAACGAUGCUUUUAGAAGCCAUGCGCAAUCUCCAACUUAACCCUUAAUGUCUGUUCCAUGAAGAAAACCGAAUAGCAUAAUCAGGAAGCAAACCACGAUUACUAAUCACUGGCCAACGGAAACCAUACGACACAAGAACAGAGCGACCAGUGGAGGAAAAUGGAAAACACCCACUCGCCCUCCUUAAAAUCCUUAUCGCGUUAAACUUUCUCGGGUGAAGCCGCUGGAAAUUAAUUUUGCAUAACUUCUGUACCAAAGAACUGACUCGACGGCCUGUGAACAAUUUUUUCUAACCAUCCAAACUGGCAAUCGCUGGGAUUCGCCUUGCGCCGAAAGUUUUCUGAUCCAAGGAAUUUCCAACCCUGGCCAGCGACCAUCGCCGCUUUCGAAGAACAGAAUUGUGUCAUCCAAUAGGUCACUGAUUAACUGGUGGUGUAAUCAUUUGGUUCUAUCUAUCUCGAUUCUCGCCCAAUGACAGAAUACCCUUCUUUAGUGAAACGGUCUGUGCAAAGCGCAUUCCAUACAACAAGAACAACCAAGCCCGCUUGCUAGACGAGCGAUUUUCUUGUAGUUGCAGCAGCUGCUUGCGAUCCUGUUGCGGUGCAGCAUCUCGAUGAAAUCCAGGUUUGCUCCCGAUACCGACGCUGUGAUGAACUCGCUCUGCUGGAUGGUGGUGGUGUUUAUUGCCGGCGGCAACCGAUUCGGAUGUUGAGCGUUCGGAAUGUGAUUAUGGUAAAAAAGAUUAAUGGACGAUGACAUUUGUCGCUGGGUAUCACGCUCGAAUCAUCGAACAAGCGGUGGGGAAAGGCACUGUAGGAUUGGGCUCCGAAUUAAGUUUGUUUUAAAAUGUUUGUUUUUGCAAAACAUCAAAGUUUCACGCUAGAGAGAUCUCCAUGUCCCUCAUUUUUCGAGUUCAAAGAGUGCUCCAAUUGUACGAACUUUGCUGCAAAUUUAAAAUACGUGGCUAUGAACACGAUAACGUGAAUUAAUUUUUCACAAUAAAAUACAUCCUCACCAAAGGUGUAUUAAGGUAGCGCUUCUUCGCUUUUAUCGCAACAGUUGCAACGAAGGAGUCGUUUAAUUAUCCUGGUAGAUUUGUUGGAUAAUGAAGGGAGUAAAAAGUAAAACGAAUAAUUUGAUGAUAUCGCAACAUUCAAGAUUUGUUUUUAAAUAAUUGACUUGGGAACUAAAAUCUAUUGCAAAUACGAUUUACGAGAGGGGAUUCUCGAAUAAUGAAAUUCAUCCCCAAAAUUUAAAGGAGGUGAGGGAGAACGUGAUUCAAUUCCUAGUGGAAGCUAAAAAGGUAUUCCAAGAUGAUAGCAAGCAUUUUUUGGACCACGAACUACGAAUCUACAGACCUCUGAAAGGACAAAAAAUAGGACCACCAUUUUGGGUUAACUUUUUAGGGUCGAAACGUGAGAAUUGAGCCAUGACUACCGGCACCCCAAUGAUUAUCAUUUACUAAUAUCUUUUGACAUACCGUCGUCGGGGGCGACAAUGGGUCAAAUGGGGGUGAGUAUAGGUCACUCUUUCAACUACUUAGAAUGCUUGUAGAAUAGAUUGAAUGUAUCUUAGUGCAAGAAGACUAAAAUAUAAGAGACCUCUUUUUGAACGAUUUUGCUCUACGAUCUCCAAACUGCCUGUGAGAGCGAUGACCCAUUCUCACCCCCCAGACCCAUUGUCACCCCGAUGGCGGUAGUGAAUAAGUUUGUUGUCUUGAUUCUUAGUUUUUGAGAUACUGGAGUUGGUCCUAUUUUUUGUCCUUUCAGAGGUCUGUAAGUUCGAAGUCCGUUGUCCAAAAAAUGUGCAUCACCGGCUGAGAUAAAUUCAGGUAAAUUCCCCCGGGCUGCCAAAAUACAGCCCUCCAAAGUUGGUAAUUUUGUAUGAAAAACGGCCUCUGGUCUUAGUUUUGUCCGACACUGUAUUUGGACCCAAUGGUUUCACUAAAUUUACGAUCAGUAUCUUGAGGACUUGGGAGUGAAUCCAGAGAGAAAUAAAAAAAAUAUCACACUAAUCCUCUCUGUAUACAGUAGGGGUAAAGUUUUUCGCAUAUUGUGACGAUAAUGAACUUGCGGUGCCCUGCGUAAAUUUUAUUUUUUUUAAAUUUGUUCUUCACAUAGUAGAAUACACUGGAUUUUGUUUUUACGCGAUUUACAUUUUCUCAAUUUUCCACUCUUCCUAAAUGUUUAACGUAUAUUAAUUACCAUGUGAUUUUUCUUUGAUUUAUUCCGGAUUUUUUGAAACAUGUUGCGAAGAGUUUGGUGGCAAAUUGAAGUCACACGAUCAAAAAUACGAGCGAAAAAAAAUCGUGUAAAAACAAAAUCCUGUGUACUCAUAAUAGGCAAAUGUAAAAAGUUUUUUGAUUGAAUACAGCUGAGUUAUAGAAAAAGGUCGUAAUCGUUAUUUUGUGAUUUUUUAUACAUGUGCAGUUCAGUUUUCCAAUGCAAUUAGGCCUUUAAACUACUCCUAACAGUACUUUAAUCUAUCAUAAUUCAGUUCUAAAUAGGACACUGAUGUGGUAGCCUUAAAUCUAAUAUCUGGUCUGGUUCAGCCCUUUAACGUUCGUCAGUAUUAGAGGAUUUAUGUGACUCAGCACUGAGAAAGACACACGGCUGCAAAUCAAAUUAUGUUUUCUUGAAUGAUCGAAUGAUAUUAUAGGUAUGAAUCUAUUAAUGGCACUUGACCUACUACAGAUAUCUCGCUGUAUUCUUGACCUCAAUAUAUUGUAGGCCCGAAAAAAAUCGAUUACAAAUCUACUUCUACUGACUAACCAAAUCGAACGUAGAA
Molecule: long non-coding RNA, 2919 nt
Organism: Armigeres subalbatus
Lineage: Eukaryota; Metazoa; Arthropoda; Insecta; Diptera; Culicidae
Exons: 2
Source: RefSeq, a predicted model, not a curated record